This 274-nucleotide ribosomal RNA is filed under the name uncultured bacterium. RNAcentral's name for it is "partial 16S ribosomal RNA". It matches the Rfam family "Bacterial small subunit ribosomal RNA", at positions 523 to 796 of the family's 1533-position model. The record is from RNAcentral.
AUACGGAGGGUCCAAGCGUUAUCCGGAAUCAUUGGGUUUAAAGGGUCCGCAGGCGGUCAAUUAAGUCAGAGGUGAAAGCCCAUCGCUCAACGAUGGAACUGCCUUUGAUACUGGUUGACUUGAGUUUUGCGGAAGUAGAUAGAAUAAGUAGUGUAACGGUGAAAUGCAUAGAUAUUACUUAGAAUACCGAUUGCGAAGGCAGUCUACUACGUAUAUACUGACGCUGAGGGACGAAAGCGUGGGGAGCGAACAGAAUUAGAAACCCUAGUAGUCC